Molecule: ribosomal RNA, 537 nt
Filed under: uncultured bacterium
Lineage: Bacteria
Description: bacterial SSU rRNA
Rfam family: Bacterial small subunit ribosomal RNA
Source: RNAcentral
AGAGUUCGAUUAUGGCUCAGGACGAACGCUGGCGGCGUGCUUGAUACAUGCAAGUCAAGGAGAACAUUGUCUUCGGAUAAUAAGUAAACUGGCGAACGGGUGAGUAACGCGUAAACAACUUGCCUCAGAGAUUGGGACAACAUUGGGAAACCAGUGCUAAUACCAAAUAAUGCAGCGGGCUCUUCGGAGCACAGUUGUUAAAGUAGGCUUCGGCUUACACUUUGAGAUAGGUUUGCGUCCGAUUAGUUAGUUGGUAGGGUAAAAGCCUACCAAGACCAAGAUCGGUAGCUGGUCUGAGAGGAUGAUCAGCCACACUGGAAUUGAGAUACGGUCCAGACUCCUACGGGAGGCAGCAGUAAGGAAUUUUGCACAAUGGGCGAAAGCCUGAUGCAGCAACGCCGCGUGAACGAUGAAGUUUUUAGGAAUGUAAAGUUCUGUCGUAUGGGAAGAGAUCUUUCGAAUGUUAAUACCAUUCGUUAAUGACGGUACCAUACAAGAAAGCACCGGCUAACUUCGUGCCAGCCGCCGCGGUAAUUC